RNAcentral lists this ribosomal RNA (253 nucleotides) under uncultured bacterium. Its description in RNAcentral is "partial 16S ribosomal RNA". It matches the Rfam family "Bacterial small subunit ribosomal RNA", at positions 524 to 776 of the family's 1533-position model. The record is from RNAcentral.
UACGGAGGGUGCAAGCGUUGUCCGGAUUUAUUGGGUUUAAAGGGUGCGUAGGCGGCUGAUUAAGUCUGGGGUGAAGGCCCGUUGCUCAACAACGGAACUGCCCUGGAAACUGGUGAGCUUGAGGACAGACGAGGGCGGCGGAAUGGAAGGUGUAGCGGUGAAAUGCAUAGAUACCUUCCAGAACCCCGAUUGCGAAGGCAGCUGCCUAGACUGUACCUGACGCUGAGGCACGAAAGCGUGGGGAGCGAACAGG